This 584-nucleotide long non-coding RNA is filed under the name Marmota monax (woodchuck). The record is from RNAcentral. Lineage: Eukaryota; Metazoa; Chordata; Mammalia; Rodentia; Sciuridae.
CUUUACAGGACUGCCUAGUAUAGUGCCCACUUGUCUCAAAAUAUUUCCAAGAUAUUAUAAAUGUUAUGACAGUUUUAGAAUUACAGAAAGAAAGAAAAAUUCGUUCUUAGGGUCCCUAUGUACCCUAUACACUUUCACCUGUGGUACAUAUACUACAAUUAAUGCAUCAUAUUGAUACUUCAUUAAUAACCAAAGUACAUAUUUUAUUUGUAUGUUUUUAAUUUUUCCCUAAUGUCCUUUUCUACCCUCACAGGAUUCCAUUAAGUAUCCUACAUUACAUUUAUCAUGUCUCCUUAGGUUUCUCCUGCUGUGAUACUUUGUCAGACUUUGUUUUCCAUGUCCUUGACAGUUUUGAGGAGUAACAAUAAGGUGAUCUGCAGAGUGUCCCUGAAUUGAUGUUUUUUACCAUGAUUAGACUAAGGAUAGACCACAUUAUACAGGAUCUGGACUACCAAAAUGACAUCACUAUUAUAAUUUUGAUCAUCUUGUUGAGAUAAUAUUAGUCAGGUUUUUUUUCCAGUAUAAAGUUCUUCUCUUAUUUGCCUCUCUGUAUUGCCCACCCUUUCUCUGGUAGUGAAUCCCUG